CUGCUUACCAUGCAGUCGAGCGAUGAAGUCCCUUCGGGGACGGAUUAGCGGCGGACGGGUGAGUAACACGUGGGCAACCUGCCUCAAAGAGGGGGAUAGCCUCCCGAAAGGGAGAUUAAUACCGCAUAACAUUAGAGCAUCACAUGAUGCUUUAAUCAAAGGAGUAAUCCGCUUUGAGAUGGGCCCGCGGCGCAUUAGCUAGUUGGUGAGGUAACGGCUCACCAAGGCGACGAUGCGUAGCCGACCUGAGAGGGUGAUCGGCCACAUUGGAACUGAGACACGGUCCAGACUCCUACGGGAGGCAGCAGUGGGGAAUAUUGCACAAUGGGCGAAAGCCUGAUGCAGCAACGCCGCGUGAGUGAUGAAGGCCUUCGGGUUGUAAAGCUCUGUCUUUGGGGACGAUAAUGACGGUACCCAAGGAGGAAGCCACGGCUAACUACGUGCCAGCAGCCGCGGUAAUACGUAGGUGGCGAGCGUUGUCCGGAUUUACUGGGCGUAAAGAGCUCGUAGGCGGUUUGUUGCGUCUGCUGUGAAAACGCGGGGCUUAACUUCGCGCGUGCAGUGGGUACGGGCAGGCUAGAGUGCGGUAGGGGAGAUUGGAAUUCCUGGUGUAGCGGUGGAAUGCGCAGAUAUCAGGAGGAACACCGAUGGCGAAGGCAGGUCUCUGGGCCGUUACUGACGCUGAGGAGCGGAAGCGUGGGGAGCGAACAGGAUUAGAUACCCUGGUAGUCCAUGCUGUAAACGUUGGGCACUAGGUGUGGGGGCCUUUCCGGGUU
This 776-nucleotide ribosomal RNA is filed under the name mesophilic bacterium enrichment culture clone OTU_17. RNAcentral describes it as "bacterial SSU rRNA". It matches the Rfam family "Bacterial small subunit ribosomal RNA", at positions 44 to 839 of the family's 1533-position model. The record is from RNAcentral.